CUCGCUACCUCCUCUGUGAUUCGUCGCUGAGCAAAUACUCUAUGAGGAAAAGGAGCCUUAGGUCUGACAAGAGGAAAAGAAGUCGGAAAUUAAAGGAAGGCUCGCAGGGAGAUAAUUUCAGGGUGCACUCUCUAUGAGAAAAGCAGUGAAAGGCUUUUCGAGAAUUAAGUAGGUUGGGAAGAAAGCCUCAAGACAGACUAGUAACUUGCUGCUUCAAGCCAUUGCUUUUAGAAGUGCAAACAGUUCGAUUUCAGAUGGAUUUCAGUUUUCUCACCUAACUUCCUGAAAAGCCAAUAGACCCAGUUGCUGAAGAAUUGGAAGGACUAAAAAUCUGUUUUUCAAAAAAAGUUACCAUUGUGGAAAAUGUCUACAGAGGCAGCUGUUCUAUCCAGAGAGGAACGUCAAAAGUUGCACAGAAUUUCCACUACUUCUGAAAACUUCUAGUAUUGCUUGUCAAAUCAGAGAAUAUUCUUUCAUGGCAACUAUUAGCUGGAGCUGGACACUGCUACUCCUCAAGAGGCAACCUGUUCCACCCAGAAAAGAAGUUACUUAUGAAUGAAAGUCUUACCCUUGUUAGGAAAGAGGAGGAUCAUUUGAAUCAAUAAAGGAAGGCAUUAUCAGAAAGGCAUUCAGGAAGCAGAAUCCCAUGCCUCAGAACCACACUGGAAUCAAGGAGUUUCAUGGGACGACUGGAAGAUGGGGGAAGGCAACUUCAGUCAACAUGACUCCUGAAGACAUACUCAAUAUGCAAGCCUACUUCUUGAAGGCCUUUUAGAAGUGGCUUUUCCUUAAAGUUUAGGGCAGAACCAACUCUAUAUCAGACACUAUGCUAACUCUAUGCAGGGCAC
This is a long non-coding RNA of Leopardus geoffroyi (Geoffroy's cat), 848 nucleotides long. RefSeq lists it as uncharacterized. The record is from RefSeq and is a predicted model, not a curated record. The transcript is spliced from 6 exons. NCBI's taxonomy places the organism in Eukaryota, Metazoa, Chordata, Mammalia, Carnivora, Felidae.